Non-coding RNA from Pelobates cultripes (western spadefoot toad), 307 nucleotides. The record is from the annotation of a GenBank genome assembly. NCBI's taxonomy places the organism in Eukaryota, Metazoa, Chordata, Amphibia, Anura, Pelobatidae.
GCCACACUUUGCACGCAGGCUCCUCACAGCAUUGUUGACCCCUAAGUCUGCCAAGACAGUGAUGCUGGAGGGCAUGUUCCACAUCCCAAAGUCGGCUACAGCCCCAGCCAAGGCUACAAAGGACGUGAUCCUACAAUUCCAGACCCAGAGGGACAGAACCGCUGUCUUGACAGCUGCCAGAGAACACCCAACCUACCUUUUUGAAGAAAUGACCCUCGAGUUCUAUUCGGAUCUCUCUGGAGCCACACUGGCAUGGAGAAGAGCCCUGCAGCCAUUUACCGCCCAUCUGCAAAAGCACCAAGUGAAG